AGUGAACGCUGGCGGUAGGCCUAACACAUGCAAGUCGAACGGCAGCACAGUAAGAGCUUGCUCUUACGGGUGGCGAGUGGCGGACGGGUGAGGAAUACAUCGGAAUCUACUUUUUCGUGGGGGAUAACGUAGGGAAACGUACGCUAAUACCGCAUACGACCUACGGGUGAAAGCAGGGGAUCUUCGGACCUUGCGCGAUUGAAUGAGCCGAUGUCGGAUUAGCUAGUUGGCGGGGUAAAGGCCCACCAAGGCGACGAUCCGUAGCUGGUCUGAGAGGAUGAUCAGCCACACUGGAACUGAGACACGGUCCAGACUCCUACGGGAGGCAGCAGUGGGGAAUAUUGGACAAGGGGCGCAAGCCUGAUCCAGCCAUACCGCGUGGGUGAAGAAGGCCUUCGGGUUGUAAAGCCCUUUUGUUGGGAAAGAAAAGCAGCAGGUUAAUACCCCGCUGUUCUGACGGUACCCAAAGAAUAAGCACCGGCUAACUUCGUG
This 492-nucleotide ribosomal RNA is filed under the name uncultured bacterium. RNAcentral's name for it is "partial 16S ribosomal RNA". It matches the Rfam family "Bacterial small subunit ribosomal RNA", at positions 29 to 507 of the family's 1533-position model. The record is from RNAcentral.